UCCCCAAACACUGACAUACAAAAACUAAAUACAAUAAAAUAGGUGCAUUUCAGUAAAACUUAAAGGAAAAAAAAUUAAAAUUCUCCUCUCCACCCUACCCAUCCACACCUCUUCUUCUUCAUGCCCUCACAUCUUUCUUCAUUGCGACCUUAGCAAAAAUAGUGAAGAAGAAUUCACACCACCAUUGAUUUGUUCAUACCAAUCAAAACUUCAAUGAAGAAGAACCAUUGCUUCCUAUUAAUUUCAUUAUCACCAUAAAAAAUAAUAAUUUUAUCAUCCGAUGUUGUGAUCUCUGCCAUACCUUAAAUACUUAAUUCAUCAUCAUCAAUUUCGUCACCGACGGGAACCACCAUCAAUUGAAUCUCCGGCUACCAUCAAUUUCAUCACUAAUGUUUGAAUUUGACAUUGAAAUUUUGUGAAGAAUUUUAUAAAUUGAAUAAAGUUAAAAGGGAAAGACAGGAUUUACAGUUUAUGCAACUUUGUAAGGGUCAACAACAACAAAGUUGUCCAUGACGUAGGAUUUGGGUAGUGGUGAUGGUGCGAUUUUGAUGGUGAAUUUGUGAUGUGUGUUAAAUUUGUGAUAGUUCUUUGUAAUUUUGAAUGAUGUUAAUGUUGAUUUUGUGAUUUCGAUGAUGAUUUUAGUUGUGAUUGUUGAAUAUAUCAUGGUUAUUUGUAAUAUUUUUCUGAUGGAAGUGGUUGUGGCUUGAUUCCCAUGGGAAAAUCUAUGGUGGAUUGUUAAAAAUUAUUGUGACAGAGAUGUGGAUUUGGUGGCUAUGAUGGCAAUGGUGGUGGUUUAAUGGUGGGUUGGUGGUGUUUUGUGAAGACGAAGUUAUUG
This 835-nucleotide long non-coding RNA is filed under the name Capsicum annuum. RNAcentral describes it as "long non-coding RNA (CANN_LNC018668)". The record is from RNAcentral. Lineage: Eukaryota; Viridiplantae; Streptophyta; Magnoliopsida; Solanales; Solanaceae.